GAGAGAGGACACAGGUAGGCAUGAGGAUGUGUGCCAGGGGCUUGGCGGGCUGCCCAACUGCCACCCAAGGUAACUCUUCUUGGCACUAAGGAAAGGCUUGAGGAGAUCCUGGAACCUCUGCCCCCUCUGCUGCUAGCAGAGAGGCCCAGCUGAUCGUGGCAGUUUUCAAGUAAGCCUGGACAGUACCUCAAAAAUCCUAAACUGUAGCCACCACCUACACUCCAGGGAUGACACUCAACAUACUCUUGGAAACCACUCUAAAGUCACGCUACAGCCCAGACCAACACUGGGGAGGACAGCAAUAAUGAAAAUAAUGACCAGCACAUUCUGGGAAGAAAACAGGAUGCACACCCUUGCUGCUCCAACUCCACAGUCCUGCUGCCCUGCCAACUGAGAGGAAAAAACGAGAGCGUAGGGAGGGGACACACAGGGACAAAGUGGUCAUCAUCUGCAGACCAUAUGAUCAUCUACGUAAUAAUUCCAACAAACCAGAACCAGUAACGGAUGAGAAAGAAGUACAGAAAAGCCCACACAACAACAACAAGCUACUAGCUACCCAGGAAUUAAUCAAGCAAAGACAACAGGAGACCUCAGAGCAAAAAAUGUGUACGUUCUGCCAGACGGCUCAAGGGAAAAACCUGAAUAAAGGAGAAAAUGUACCAAAUUCACCAUAGGAUGACUAAGCACUAUAAAAGGCCAAUUUGCCCAAGCUUACUUAAUAAGUUACAAUUAUAACAGAAAUGCCAGCAGAAUUUUUUUUUUAAAGGAAUUUGACCAAAGAAAAAGAAUCCUUCUAGAAUAAAUGGAGAAAUAGAGGUCCAUCUAUAAGCAGGUCAGCCUGACACACUCUUUUCAGGCUGUGAGGAUGUGCCAGGACCGUGGAUGAGUGGGACCAGUGCCCAGGACAGGGCUCGCAGACGCCCCACACUACAGGAGCCCAUCGGACGCCACAGGCGCUAUCACACAGCAGCAUGGGAGGCCAGGGCUGCUUCAUGGAUGGUGCUAGAAAACUCACUCACUGUAAGAAAAAUCAAUCCCCACAGUUGCCUCAUGUCAUAAACAAAGGACAAUUAAAGACCCAGGUGUGAAAGAUAAAACUCUAGCUCUAACAAAAGAAAAUAUUGGGGAGAAUACCUUUGUGACCCCAAAGUGCAAAAAAGUUAUAAAACACUACUCUAAAAACAAAGACCAUAAAGCACACAACAUAAGGUUAACAACAGUGACAAAGAGAUUUCAACCUCACCAAAGCGGAAUGGUUUCUACCGGAUAGGAGAGAACACAAAGCUGACACGGUAACAGGUCACCAACGACAAGAGAGGGAUGAAUCCAGAAUCUGGAGCAUUCUACAAACCAGCAAGGCAAAGACAAGACAUGGAGAAAACCUACAGAACAUGAACAGCAAGUUCUCUGAAGGGGAAAAAGACUGGCCAAGGCCACUACGAAGCAGAUUGGGCCCAUAUGCAAUCAGGAUCCCCGCGAUCCUGCUCUCUUCUCUGGGGCUCCGCACCCCAAGCAGGCGCCCAGACGUUGACCCAAGGACAGACGCUAGACACACGUCACCAGCAUGGGUGCUUCUGGAAAAGGAACAUACACGCACCAAAGGAAUCAAUGAGGAAAAUACAGCAAAACGAGAAAGGGAUCUCAUUACAGACAGUGGAUGGCCAAGGCCACGGAGUCUGCUAUACUGCUCGGCGGGCGUGAGUGCAAGGAUGAGGCUGGACCCAGAGAUGUCCCAGAGGGUCCCAGAAGAGGGCAGGAGGGAAGGAGGCACUAGUUGGGAGGACGCCAGGGCUGCUCUGGCCUCCCAGGGUGGGGAAAAAUGGGGAUCAGCUGGAGAAGCAAGAGAGGCCAGGUCAGGGGAGAAGCCAGCCCAGGUGGGCAGCUACACAUGGAAGACAGGUUCGCCCCAGCACCAUGGUGAGCACCAGGGCGAAGGCCCUCAGAACUGCUGCUUCUGCAACACUGCCCACCUCAUGACUAUGAUGCUUAUACACGCACCGAAGCAUUGACCAUGCCUCAAUAAGAUGUCACAUGAACUUAAACAAACUGAGGAGAGGGUAAGAAUAGCGGUUGUGAAUGGAGGAUGCUUUCUCUUCCUGUUUUUCAGAAUUUCUCAGUUUGUAUUUAAUGAGCACUUCUUGGCUUGGGGUUUGAAAA
Long non-coding RNA from Canis lupus familiaris (dog), 2157 nucleotides. RefSeq lists it as uncharacterized. The transcript is spliced from 3 exons. The record is from RefSeq and is a predicted model, not a curated record. Lineage: Eukaryota; Metazoa; Chordata; Mammalia; Carnivora; Canidae.